AGAGUGAACGCUGGCGGUAGGCCUAACACAUGCAAGUCGAACGGCAGCACGGUAAGAGCUUGCUCUUAUGGGUGGCGAGUGGCGGACGGGUGAGGAAUACAUCGGAAUCUACCUUUUGGUGGGGGAUAACGUAGGGAAACUUACGCUAAUACCGCAUACGCCCUUCGGGGGAAAGCCGGGACCAGCAAUGGCCUGGCGCUGAUAGAUGAGCCGAUGUCGGAUUAGCUAGUUGGUGAGGUAAUGGCUCACCAAGGCGACGAUCCGUAGCUGGGUCUGAGAGGAUGAUCAGCCACACUGGGAAACUGAGACACGGUCCAGACCUCCUAGGGGAGCAGCAGGUGGGGAAUNUUGGACAA
RNAcentral lists this ribosomal RNA (356 nucleotides) under uncultured soil bacterium. RNAcentral's name for it is "bacterial SSU rRNA". It matches the Rfam family "Bacterial small subunit ribosomal RNA", at positions 26 to 371 of the family's 1533-position model. The record is from RNAcentral.